RNAcentral lists this ribosomal RNA (1249 nucleotides) under uncultured Gammaproteobacteria bacterium. RNAcentral describes it as "bacterial SSU rRNA". It matches the Rfam family "Bacterial small subunit ribosomal RNA", at positions 9 to 1252 of the family's 1533-position model. The record is from RNAcentral. Lineage: Bacteria; Pseudomonadati; Pseudomonadota; Gammaproteobacteria.
GAGUUUGAUCCUGGCUCAGAUUGGACGCUGGCGGCAGGCUUAACACAUGCAAGUCGAACGGUAACAUGAGUGCUUGCACUUGAUGACGAGUGGCGGACGGGUGAGUAAAGUAUGGGGAUCUGCCGAAUGGAGGGGGACAACAGUUGGAAACGACUGCUAAUACCGCAUAAAGUUGAGAGACCAAAGCAUGGGACCUUCGGGCCAUGCGCCAUUUGAUGAACCCAUAUGGGAUUAGCUAGUUGGUAGGGUAAAGGCUUACCAAGGCGACGAUCUCUAGCUGGUCUGAGAGGAUGACCAGCCACACUGGAACUGAGACACGGUCCAGACUCCUACGGGAGGCAGCAGUGGGGAAUAUUGCACAAUGGGGGAAACCCUGAUGCAGCCAUGCCGCGUGUAUGAAGAAGGCCUUCGGGUUGUAAAGUACUUUCGGUAAUGAGGAAAGUGGUGUAUCUAAUAGGUGCAUCAAUUGACGUUAAUUACAGAAGAAGCACCGGCUAACUCCGUGCCAGCAGCCGCGGUAAUACGGAGGGUGCGAGCGUUAAUCGGAAUGACUGGGCGUAAAGGGCAUGUAGGCGGAUAAUUAAGUUAGGUGUGAAAGCCCUGGGCUCAACCUAGGAAUUGCACUUAAAGCUGGUUAACUAGAGUAUUGUAGAGGAAGGUAGAAUUCCACGUGUAGCGGUGAAAUGCGUAGAGAUGUGGAGGAAUACCGGUGGCGAAGGCGGCCUUCUGGACAGAUACUGACGCUGAGAUGCGAAAGCGUGGGGAGCAAACAGGAUUAGAUACCCUGGUAGUCCACGCUGUAAACGAUGUCGAUUUGGAGUUUGUUGCCUAGAGUGAUGGGCUCCGAAGCUAACGCGAUAAAUCGACCGCCUGGGGAGUACGGCCGCAGGGUUAAAACUCAAAUGAAUUGACGGGGGCCCGCACAAGCGGUGGAGCAUGUGGUUUAAUUCGAUGCAACGCGAAGAACCUUACCUGGUCUUGACAUCCACAGAAUCUUGCAGAGAUGCGAGAGUGCCUUCGGGAACUGUGAGACAGGUGCUGCAUGGCUGUCGUCAGCUCGUGUUGUGAAAUGUUGGGUUAAGUCCCGCAACGAGCGCAACCCUUAUCCUUUGUUGCCAGCGAUUCGGUCGGGAACUCAAAGGAGACUGCCGUUGAUAAAGCGGAGGAAGGUGGGGACGACGUCAAGUCAUCAUGGCCCUUACGACCAGGGCUACACACGUGCUACAAUGGCGUAUACAAAGGGAGGCGA